GCGUGAUGUCCCUCCACCGCCGGGGCUCGGGUGGGCCGGGCGCUCCGAGCCCGCAUCGUCUCCCCGCUGUUAGGACGGUGUUGAGGACCCCCAUGCAGAAACCGCUCCCACCAGCCAAGGCGGGGAGAAAAGAUGGACGUGGGGGCUUAAAAACCAAUGCUGGAGCAGAGAGCCCCCCCCUGGGAAUGUGCAGCCAGCAGAGCCCCCCCGGGAAUGUGCAGCCAGCAAGCUGUUCAGAGUGACUGCACAGGACGGACACUUAACUGACAUUUGUCAAUUUGCUGUGUUGAAGAACAUUGCUGAACUAAUUUGAAAGGCAUUUUAAAAAGAAAUUGAGGGAAAAAACCCUUCAAGAUGCAGAAAAUGUGAAAUUUUCAAUUACUUGUUUGUGAGGUUGUUUCUGAGUCCAGUAAAGAGGCUCAGCUUCGA
Long non-coding RNA from Lemur catta (Ring-tailed lemur), 429 nucleotides. RefSeq lists it as uncharacterized. NCBI's taxonomy places the organism in Eukaryota, Metazoa, Chordata, Mammalia, Primates, Lemuridae. The transcript is spliced from 2 exons. The record is from RefSeq and is a predicted model, not a curated record.